This 74-nucleotide transfer RNA is filed under the name Oceanospirillum multiglobuliferum. RNAcentral's name for it is "tRNA_Gly_TCC". It matches the Rfam family "tRNA". From Rfam's summary of the family: Transfer RNA (tRNA) molecules are approximately 80 nucleotides in length. Their secondary structure includes four short double-helical elements and three loops (D, anti-codon, and T loops). The record is from RNAcentral. Lineage: Bacteria; Pseudomonadati; Pseudomonadota; Gammaproteobacteria; Oceanospirillales; Oceanospirillaceae.
GCGGGCAUAGUUUAGUGGUAGAGCCUCAGCCUUCCAAGCUGAUGAUGCGGGUUCGAUUCCCGCUGCCCGCUCCA